RNAcentral lists this ribosomal RNA (492 nucleotides) under uncultured bacterium. Its description in RNAcentral is "partial 16S ribosomal RNA". It matches the Rfam family "Bacterial small subunit ribosomal RNA", at positions 28 to 507 of the family's 1533-position model. The record is from RNAcentral.
GGUGAACGCUGGCGGCAGGCCUAACACAUGCAAGUCGAACGGCAGCACAGUAAGAGCUUGCUCUUACGGGUGGCGAGUGGCGGACGGGUGAGGAAUAGAUCGGAAUCUACUUUUUCGUGGGGGACAACGUAGGGAAAGUUACGCUAAUACCGCAUACGAUCUACGGGUGAAAGCAGGGGAUCUUCGGACCUUGCGCGAUUGAAUGAGCCGAUGCCGGAUUAGCUAGGUGGCGGGGUAAAGGCCCACCAAGGCGACGAUCCGUAGCUGGUCUGAGAGGAUGAUCAGCCACACUGGAACUGAGACACGGUCCAGACUCCUACGGGAGGCAGCAGUGGGGAAUAUUGGGCAAAGGGCGCAAGCCUGAUCCAGCCAUACCGCGUGGGUGAAGAAGGCCUUCGGGUUGUAAAGCCCUUUUGUUGGGAAAGAAAAGCAGCAGAUUAAUACCCCGCUGUUCUGACGGUACCCAAAGAAUAAGCACCGGCUAACUUCGUG